Molecule: non-coding RNA, 639 nt
Organism: Schizosaccharomyces pombe (fission yeast)
Lineage: Eukaryota; Fungi; Ascomycota; Schizosaccharomycetes; Schizosaccharomycetales; Schizosaccharomycetaceae
Source: the annotation of a GenBank genome assembly
CCUAACCCACUAUUCAUUUCUAACCCAUUCUGUCUAAAUAAACACAAUGAUAAAGAUUAAACUCUUUCUAAUCAAAUUGUUGCAAAUUCAUUCUCAAAUCGCUAAACACCAAACAUAUAAGGGAAUAGCGUUCUUUCCACAACCCCCUAACCAAGUUUAACGAAAAUCAUUAAACACCAUCCACUUUGCUAUCUUUUGGCGAUCCCUCACAAAUACACACACUAUCUUCUUAGCUGACGAUCCUCAUGCCGAUCCUUGUGUGCGCUACUACUGGUCAAAACGCAACAACCAUAUCGUAAAAAUUGUACAUCAUUAGUUAUUAGUAAUUGUUUUGGAAUACGAAUAAUUAAUUCUCCAACUCUAUUCUUAAAACAACGAAUUACACUGUACCGCCUUACAUCGAAAUUCAGAGGGUAGAACAGGGCAAAGCAAAGCAAGGCAGAGUAAAGCACAGUAGAGAGACAAAGGAGAAAGAGGAAAAAUAGCAUGAGGAAACACUUUCGCCCGACGUUCAACAGCCUCAAUCAUGCCUUUUCGUGCCACAAAACAAGGGGAAAGACAUUCGUUCAUGCCUUGCAUAAUUCACUAAAAUCAAUGGCUCUGUAAUAUGAGCAAACCAUGUAGUAUCAAUGCUUCUCG